CUGGGGACUUCCUGCAUGGUCAGCCCAUCUGUUAGACAGCCACCGUGCUACCCUGGUCAGCUCGUUGGGCUGCAGACAAGCUGGAGAGAAAAAAGGGGGGGAUGCUUAAAAUCACCAAAAUUUACUGUGCGUGUGAAUUCUACACCCAAAACCUUAUAAACAAUUCGCUUGUAACAAUUAUCAGACGCAAUCAAAUGCGCGUGUGCCCGCACGCUAUCACGCAAACCGAGUUUGUAAUGGCGCUAAUCGCAUUCGCCUUGAACAUUCCGAUUCCGUCAAAUUGUUUUUCUCCUCGAGAAUCAACAGUCAGUUUUAACAAUGAAGAGGAAGAGGACCCUAAAAUAUUUAUUUUUUUGCUUGUCUGCAGCCCCACACGCAGCUGUGGUCCUCAUCUAUCAGAGCUGACCAUGCGGAGGAGAAGCUGUGUACAUAUGAGUUUUUUUUUUGUUUUUUUUUGCUAUGCACCACAUUUGGUGUAGAUUAGUGUAUUACUACUGCCAGUCUUACAUACUUACAUACUUACCUUUUUGCAAUCGAAUGACUAAAACUCAUUUGACUGCAUAGUAGUAUGGGGGAUUGUCUGUAGUAAUGCACUUAUGGAGAGUGGGGCCUGGACAAUUUUUCCAUUUUUUUUUUACUUCCCCAAAAUCAGGACCCCACACCAAAAUAAAAAUAAUACAACCCCC
Molecule: long non-coding RNA, 686 nt
Organism: Anguilla rostrata (American eel)
Lineage: Eukaryota; Metazoa; Chordata; Actinopteri; Anguilliformes; Anguillidae
Exons: 4
Source: RefSeq, a predicted model, not a curated record